Saimiri boliviensis boliviensis (Bolivian squirrel monkey) is the source of this 1039-nucleotide non-coding RNA. The record is from RefSeq and is a predicted model, not a curated record. NCBI's taxonomy places the organism in Eukaryota, Metazoa, Chordata, Mammalia, Primates, Cebidae.
AUAUCUGUAUACAUACACAUCUACACACAUCCACGUACAGAUACAUCUGUAUACAGAUGCAUGCACAUACAUACACAUCUGCACACAUGUCGGUGGGGAUCAGGGAAACAUAGCAUUAAGUAGUGAUGGUCUGGCAAUAGCGAGUAUUGUUUUGACAUCUUUUGGGUGAACUGACCAGCUAGUGGCUAUCAGAGGGGUGUGUGGGGUGUGUCUGCAGCUUGGUGGGGUCAUCAAACAUGGUAUUUAUUGUUGCACAUGUCUUUUCUAGAGGAUCUCCCAUGUGGGGCCCUGGAGUGUAAUGAGCUGUCCCCGUGGCCCACCUGCCAGUGUCUGCACCAGUGACCAACAAAGUUCUGGCUUCACAGGCCUCAAGGACUUUGGAUUGUACUGUAAGAAACGCUAGUGUGCCAUCAUUGGAAGUGUCUGGUCACCACGUGGAGAUCCGUUGCCAGCGGCAGGACUGGAGACAUGCAGCCACCCAUGGUCGGCAAGGCUGAGUGGUUCCAGGAGCAGCUGGAGAUGAAACUGGUCAUGGGGGCAGCCCUGUCAUCUUUACAGGGAACCUCACGCAGCAGGCAGGCUGCAAGCUGGCCUCUCUGCAUCACUGAGCCAUCUGCUGAGUGACCAAGCCCACCUGACAGCACUGCUGGAAAGGAAGGAGGAGGAUGGACACUGGGCGGCCACACUGGGUGCCGAGCUCGUCGUGUCAGGACUGGCGGGGCUGUGUGCCCUUAGCCUGCUGCAGCAGCGAGGCCGGCUCUGGACCAACUCCCUGAGGAUCCAGUGCAGCCUGCUGGCUCAGGCAAAGCAGCCAGCGCACCAGUGCAGCACCGGCCAGAGGCUGCCGACAGAGAGUGGCUUAGAUGGCGCUUACCAGCUGGAGCUGGGCCAUGAGCUCCACAGCACACAGAUCCCGGCCUCAGCCACAAGGUAGGGUGCCCAGGCCAGGUGGGACAUCCAGAGAGAGCACCAGAGUCUGGCAAGGUGAUCUGAGUACCCUGAGCUCAUUCCUAAAGAGAUGAACUUGCUCCCAAUAGCA